This 21-nucleotide unclassified non-coding RNA is filed under the name Chlamydomonas reinhardtii. RNAcentral describes it as "small RNA Cre_3687". Lineage: Eukaryota; Viridiplantae; Chlorophyta; Chlorophyceae; Chlamydomonadales; Chlamydomonadaceae. The record is from RNAcentral.
UGUUGUGCAUGAGCUUGGUGC